UUGUAGUCUGCAGAAGGUGCCUCGGGCGCGACACCGGCUCAAGUUCCUUGGAACAGGGCGUCACAGAGGGUGAGAAUCCCGUACGUUCCGGCCGUCAAGCCCGUGUGAGGUCCUUUCGACGAGUCGAGUUGUUUGGGAAUGCAGCUCCAAAUGGGUGGUAAAUUUCAUCUAAAGCUAAAUACCGGCCGGAGACCGAUAGCGCACAAGUAGAGUGAUCGAAAGUUGAAAAGCACUUUGAAAAGAGAGUUAAACAGUACGUGAAAUUGUUGAAAGGGAAGGGCUUGCAACCAGACUCGAGCGCGGGGGCUCGGCCGUCCCUCGGGGCGGUGUGCUCUCCCGCGUCCGGGCCAGCAUCGGUUCGGGCGGCCGGACAAAGGCCCCGGGAACGUGGUUCUCUCCGGGGAACGUUAUAGCCCGGGGUGCAAUGCGGCCCGCCUGGACCGAGGACCGCGCUUUUAAUGCUAGGAUGCUGGCGGAAUGGUUGUUGUCCGCCCGUCUUGGUGCGCACUUACCACUCCAAUCCCUUUCGAAAUCUAUGCUGACUUUUUCCAGAAACACGGACCAAGGAGUCGACCAAUUGUGCGAGUAUAUGGGUGCCAAACCCGCGUGCGCAAUGAAAGUGAUCCAGAAACGAGCUUCGGCGCAGUUUCGACCGAUCCUGAUAUUUAUGGAUGGAUUUGAGUAAGAGCAAAAUUGGUCGGACCCGAAAGAUGGUGAGCUAUGCGUGAAUAGGGUGAAGCCAGAAGAAAUUCUGGUGGAGGCUCGCAGCGGUUCUGACGUGCAAAUCGAUCGUCAAAUUUGCGUAUAGGGGCGAAAGACUAAUCGAACCAUCUAGUAGCUGGUUCUCGUCGAAGUUUCCCGUAAAUGCCUCCCCUCCCCCGCCGGUUUUUUUCUCGCUAACAUUUUUCCAGUCAGGAUAGCAGCAGCGAAAGCAGUCUCAUUAGGUAGAGCGAACGAUUAGAGGCCUUGGGGUUGAAACAACCUUAACCUAUUCUCGAACUUCGAAUAUGUGAGAAGUCCUUGUUACUCAGUUGAA
This 1036-nucleotide ribosomal RNA is filed under the name Fissurina nigrolabiata. Its description in RNAcentral is "LSU rRNA". It matches the Rfam family "Eukaryotic large subunit ribosomal RNA", at positions 143 to 1099 of the family's 3401-position model. The record is from RNAcentral. Lineage: Eukaryota; Fungi; Ascomycota; Lecanoromycetes; Ostropales; Graphidaceae.